Long non-coding RNA from Phacochoerus africanus (Common warthog), 1453 nucleotides. RefSeq lists it as uncharacterized. The transcript has 2 exons. The record is from RefSeq and is a predicted model, not a curated record. NCBI's taxonomy places the organism in Eukaryota, Metazoa, Chordata, Mammalia, Artiodactyla, Suidae.
AGCUCUGCGCGCGCCGCGACUUUCCAUUGGUUCUCCGAGAGGUGGCCUACAAUGAGCCCGCCGAUUGGCCGCAGCUGGGGCCGCGCUGCCUUGUGAGGUAGAAGCCGGGGGCGGGGAAGCACCGCCUUUCUUCCGGUCCGGCUCGCGGAGAGCAGGAAGCGGGCGGAAGCAGGUGGCUCUCGCGAGCAUUUAGUCAGCCCAGCUAGGCUCGAACGGAGGGUGUUUCUUAAAGGGAGAGGCGCUUGGGUCAUCUUUUCCGUCCCACUUUCUUGAAUGGAAUGGACCUCUGAGGUUCCACGACGCGCCUCCACUCGAGCCGGGACGCGUGGUUUGAACUGCUUCUGAGAAGCCUCAAAGAGGCGCCUCGCGCUUUGCUGCUUCUUAGCAGACGGAGCGCUCGGGCCUGCGUGCAUCACGGCUGCACGGACUAGUGUUCAAGCUCUCCGCCAGGGUAUCCGAAUUGGGAAACUUCUCCCGGGUAGUCUGGGACCCCGACACCCUCGGGGACAAAAGAGCCACGCAGGUCCCGCCUUCCCGCUUUAGUGCUAAGAGAGGUUCACUUUGGACCUGGAACUUUACGAGGGGGAAGAAAGCAGAGACUGACUGAGUUUGGAGACCUGAAGUAUCUGAUGCCACGUAUGGUUUCGUCUGAGCUCCUGAGAGUGGAAGGGGGGAGAGUAUUGAAGCAAAAUGGGCAGCUGUCUUUUGGAGUUAGGCGUUGUAGUUGGCUACUUUAUGUCUCUUCACCUCAGCUGCAGUCAUUCAAAUAUUUGGGUCCGAACUGUUCCAGGCCGGGUUUUCUUGAGAAGAUUGAGCAGAACCAAACAGAAUCCUUGUUCUAGAGAGUAGGUCUUCCUAUAACAUGAAAAAAUAAUUAGCAGGAUGAGAGUGAGCCAUGCCCUUGGACCACCUGGAGAGGAGGUAAGUUCUUAAUGUUUCCAUUGCUGCCUUUUUUAACUAAGUAGAGAUCCUUGUAGAAUAGCUAGACAGAUGCUAAUCUUUUAGUUCAAAUCCAUAAAUAUUUAUUAUGUACUAGUUUUCUGUCUUGCACUGGGAUGAGUGCUGAAAUUUUUUUUUUUUUUUCCUGCCCUGUUGUGUGUGGAGUUCCUGGUCCAGGGAUCAGAUCUGAACUGCAGUUACUGUGGAAUACUGGACCCUUUAACCCAUGGCACCGGGCCAGGGAAUCUAACCUGCAUCCUGGCCCUGUAGAGACACCGCUGAUCCCCUUGUGCCACAGUGAGACCUCCUGAACGUUCUUUAGAUGUAGUGCAGUCCUUGAAUUUAUGGUCUUUUUUUUUUUUAGGGGAAAUAAGAUAUAGCAAUAUUGAACAAAUAGAUAACAAUAUAAAAGAAGUCCUGUUUAUAGGAUUGAGCCAGAAAUGAACAAAUUAAGCCUGGAACACCUUACUAUAUUAGUAAAAAAGGAAAUAAACAAAUACCACUGUGGUCUUUC